This 550-nucleotide ribosomal RNA is filed under the name uncultured bacterium. RNAcentral describes it as "bacterial SSU rRNA". It matches the Rfam family "Bacterial small subunit ribosomal RNA", at positions 355 to 896 of the family's 1533-position model. The record is from RNAcentral.
UAGGGAAUCUUCGGCAAUGGGGGCAACCCUGACCGAGCAACGCCGCGUGAGUGAAGAAGGUUUUCGGAUCGUAAAGCUCUGUUGUAAGUCAAGAACGAGUGUGAGAGUGGAAAGUUCACACUGUGACGGUAGCUUACCAGAAAGGGACGGCUAACUACGUGCCAGCAGCCGCGGUAAUACGUAGGUCCCGAGCGUUGUCCGGAUUUAUUGGGCGUAAAGCGAGCGCAGGCGGUUUGAUAAGUCUGAAGUUAAAGGCUGUGGCUCAACCAUAGUUCGCUUUGGAAACUGUCAAACUUGAGUGCAGAAGGGGAGAGUGGAAUUCCAUGUGUAGCGGUGAAAUGCGUAGAUAUAUGGAGGAACACCGGUGGCGAAAGCGGCUCCCUGGUCUGUAACUGACGCUGAGGCUCGAAAGCGUGGGGAGCGAACAGGAUUAGAUACCCUGGUAGUCCACGCCGUAAACGAUGAGUGCUAGGUGUUGGGUCCUUUCCGGGAUUCAGUGCCGCAGCUAACGCAUUAAGCACUCCGCCUGGGGAGUACGACCGCAAGGUUG